Molecule: small RNA, 125 nt
Filed under: Marmota monax (woodchuck)
Lineage: Eukaryota; Metazoa; Chordata; Mammalia; Rodentia; Sciuridae
Source: RNAcentral
GCCGGGUGUGGUGACUUACACCUGUCAUCCCAGCGGCUCGGGAGGCUGAGGCAGGAGGCUCUCGAGUUCAAACCAAGCCUUAGCAAAAGUGAGGCGCUAAGCAACUCAGUGAGACCCUGUCUCUA